GUCCUCGUCCCCGGGGGGCGUCGGCUCACCCCGGGCCCGCCCCGGUGGGUCGCCUCGGCUGGCGCCCAGCAGCUGGCUUAGAACUGGUGCGGACCGGGGGAAUACGACUGUUUAAUUA
Salarias fasciatus (jewelled blenny) is the source of this 118-nucleotide long non-coding RNA. RefSeq lists it as uncharacterized. The record is from RefSeq and is a predicted model, not a curated record. The transcript has 2 exons. NCBI's taxonomy places the organism in Eukaryota, Metazoa, Chordata, Actinopteri, Blenniiformes, Blenniidae.